This 390-nucleotide ribosomal RNA is filed under the name uncultured bacterium. RNAcentral describes it as "bacterial SSU rRNA". It matches the Rfam family "Bacterial small subunit ribosomal RNA", at positions 30 to 422 of the family's 1533-position model. The record is from RNAcentral.
AUUGAACGCUGGCGGCAUGCCUUACACAUGCAAGUCGAACGGUAACGGGCCUUCAGGUGCCGACGAGUGGCGAACGGGUGAGUAAUGUAUCGGAACGUACCUUUCAGUGGGGGAUAACGUAGCGAAAGUUACGCUAAUACCGCAUAUUCUGUGAGCAGGAAAGCAGGGGAUCGCAAGACCUUGCGCUGAUUGAGCGGCCGAUAUCAGAUUAGCUAGUUGGUGAGGUAAAGGCUCACCAAGGCGACGAUCUGUAGCGGGUCUGAGAGGAUGAUCCGCCACACUGGAGCUGAGACACGGUCCAGACUCCUACGGGAGGCAGCAGUGGGGAAUUUUGGACAAUGGGGGCAACCCUGAUCCAGCCAUGCCGCGUGAGUGAAGAAGGCCUUCGGG